GAUGAACGCUGGCGGCGUGCCUAAUACAUGCAAGUCGAACGAAAGGACGAGAAGCUUGCGUCUUUGACGUUAGCGGAGGGCGGGUGAGUAACACGUGGAUAACCUACUUAUAAGACUGGGAUAACUUCGGGAAACCGGAUCUAAUACCGGAUAAUAUUUUGAACCGCAUGGUUCAAAGGAAAAAGACGGUCUUGCUGUCACUUAUAGAUGGAUACGGGCUGCAUUAGCUGGUUGGGAAGGUAAAGGCCUACCAAGGCUACGAUGCCUAUCCGACCGGACGGGGUGAUCGGCCACACUGGAACUUAGCCACGGUCCAGGCUCCUGCGGGAGGGCGCAGUCGGGAAUCUGACGCAAUGGGCGAGAGUCUGACGGAGCAACGCGGCGUGAGUUAUGAAGGUCUUCGGUUCGGAAAACUCUGUUAUGAGGGAAGAACCUAUUUGGAAUUAGCUGUGGACUUAGUGACGGUACCGAAUCAGAAAGCACCGGCUAACUACGUG
This 497-nucleotide ribosomal RNA is filed under the name uncultured bacterium. Its description in RNAcentral is "partial 16S ribosomal RNA". It matches the Rfam family "Bacterial small subunit ribosomal RNA", at positions 28 to 507 of the family's 1533-position model. The record is from RNAcentral.